AGAGUUUGAUCAUGGCUCAGAGUGAACGCUGGCGGCAGGCCUAACACAUGCAAGUCGAACGGCAGCACGGCAGUAGCAAUACUGUGGGUGGCGAGUGGCGGACGGGUGAGGAAUACAUCGGGAUCUACCCUGUUGUCGGGGGAUAACGUAGGGAAACUUACGCUAAUACCGCAUAAGAACUGAGGUUGAAAGCGGCGGACCGCAAGGCGUCGCGCGAUUGGAUGAACCGAUGUCCGAUUAGCUAGUUGCGGGUAAAGGCCCACCAAGGCGACGAUCGGUAGCUGGUCUGAGAGGACGACCAGCCACACUGGAACUGAGACACGGUCCAGACUCCUACGGGAGGCAGCAGUGGGGAAUAUUGGACAAUGGGCGCAAGCCUGAUCCAGCCAUGCCGCGUGGGUGAAGAAGGCCUUCGGGUUGUAAAGCCCUUUUGUCCGGAAAGAAAAGCAUUCGGUUAAUACCCGGGUGUUCUGACGGUACCGGAAGAAUAAGCACCGGCUAACUUCGUG
Molecule: ribosomal RNA, 509 nt
Filed under: uncultured bacterium
Lineage: Bacteria
Description: bacterial SSU rRNA
Rfam family: Bacterial small subunit ribosomal RNA
Source: RNAcentral